UCAAAUGAGAGUUUGAUCCUGGCUCAGGACGAACGCUGGCGGCGUGCCUAAUACAUGCAAGUCGAACGAGAGCGACCGGUGCUUGCACUGGUCAAUCUAGUGGCGAACGGGUGAGUAACACGUGGGUAACCUGCCCUCUUCUUUGGGAUAACGCCCGGAAACGGGUGCUAAUACUGGAUAUUCACUGGCCUUCGCAUGGGGGUUGGUGGAAAGGUUUGUUCUGGUGGGGGAUGGGCUCGCGGCCUAUCAGCUUGUUGGUGGGGUGAUGGCCUACCAAGGCUUUGACGGGUAGCCGGCCUGAGAGGGUGACCGGUCACAUUGGGACUGAGAUACGGCCCAGACUCCUACGGGAGGCAGCAGUGGGG
RNAcentral lists this ribosomal RNA (365 nucleotides) under Solobacterium sp. RNAcentral describes it as "bacterial SSU rRNA". It matches the Rfam family "Bacterial small subunit ribosomal RNA", at positions 1 to 359 of the family's 1533-position model. The record is from RNAcentral. Lineage: Bacteria; Bacillati; Bacillota; Erysipelotrichia; Erysipelotrichales; Erysipelotrichaceae.